AAAAAAACAAAAAAAAUUCGGUGCCUCAUGCUGGAAUCGAACCAGCGACCUUCUGUUUACUAGACAGACGCUCUGCCACUGAGCCAAUGAGGCGCUGGGUG
This 101-nucleotide transfer RNA is filed under the name Caenorhabditis elegans. RNAcentral's name for it is "Unclassified non-coding RNA W02G9.7". The record is from RNAcentral. Lineage: Eukaryota; Metazoa; Nematoda; Chromadorea; Rhabditida; Rhabditidae.